AAAAAGGGCUUCUGUCGUGAGUGGCACACGUAGGGCAGCUUGAUUGCUCUACGUGCGGAAUCGACAUCAAGAGAUUUCGGAAGCAUAAUUUUUUGGUACCUGGGCAGCUAGUGAUCGUUGGUCCUAGCGCCUGC
Molecule: small nuclear RNA, 134 nt
Organism: Pteronotus mesoamericanus
Lineage: Eukaryota; Metazoa; Chordata; Mammalia; Chiroptera; Mormoopidae
Product: U11 spliceosomal RNA
Exons: 1
Source: RefSeq, a predicted model, not a curated record